This 67-nucleotide transfer RNA is filed under the name Marcia hiantina. RNAcentral describes it as "tRNA-Thr". Lineage: Eukaryota; Metazoa; Mollusca; Bivalvia; Venerida; Veneridae. The record is from RNAcentral.
AGGAUUAGUAGUUAAUAUUUUAUAAUAGGGGUUUUGUAAACCUUAGUAAGCUUGGUCUCUAAUCCUA